Molecule: ribosomal RNA, 253 nt
Filed under: uncultured bacterium
Lineage: Bacteria
Description: partial 16S ribosomal RNA
Rfam family: Bacterial small subunit ribosomal RNA
Source: RNAcentral
UACGGGGGGGGCAAGCGUUGUUCGGAAUUACUGGGCGUAAAGGGCUCGUAGGCGGCCAACUAAGUCGGACGUGAAAUCCCUCGGCUUAACCGGGGAACUGCGUCCGAUACUGGAUGGCUUGAGUUCGGGAGAGGGAUGCGGAAUUCCAGGUGUAGCGGUGAAAUGCGUAGAUAUCUGGAGGAAUACCGGUGGCGAAGGCGGCAUCCUGGACCGACAUUGACGCUGAGGAGCGAAAGCUAGGGGAGCAAACGGG